CGGAUUCUAAGACAAACUACUCCUGAACUUCUGAAUAUUGCUAUAUAUACUGGAUACUGGAUACAUAUAACUUGGUGUAGCUCUAGUCAUAUAUGUAUUACGAAAUUAUAAAAUCAACCAAUAAGACAUUUUAGAAUCAACUGAAUUUCUAUUUCACAAUAAUGGAUCAUAAUUUUCAAAGAAUACAUAAGAUGAGUGUAUACCAAGUUACAUCAACAGCGCUCCUUCUAAUGGUGGUCAUUACAAUGAAUCCUACAUCCGCAACCAGUACAACAAUCACUGAUGCAUCGACAACAACUGGUGAACCCACUACAACCAUCACUAACGCAUCGACUACAACUGAUGAACCCACUACAACCGUAACUGAUGCAUCGACUACAACUGGUGAACCCACUACAACCGUA
Molecule: long non-coding RNA, 404 nt
Filed under: Salmo salar (Atlantic salmon)
Lineage: Eukaryota; Metazoa; Chordata; Actinopteri; Salmoniformes; Salmonidae
Description: lncRNA (ENSSSAG00000104789.1)
Source: RNAcentral